CGCAGUCAGGAUACUAUGGUGGAAAUACUUAUUCCCAUCCCGAACAUAACAGUCAAGCACUAUAGGCUCUUAUAGGCCUCUAGAAGAGAGCCUACUUGAGUUGACUGCGC
Molecule: ribosomal RNA, 110 nt
Organism: Mycoplasma wenyonii str. Massachusetts
Lineage: Bacteria; Bacillati; Mycoplasmatota; Mollicutes; Mycoplasmatales; Mycoplasmataceae
Source: Rfam